Molecule: long non-coding RNA, 1249 nt
Filed under: Ananas comosus (pineapple)
Lineage: Eukaryota; Viridiplantae; Streptophyta; Magnoliopsida; Poales; Bromeliaceae
Description: long non-coding RNA (ACOM_LNC016742)
Source: RNAcentral
GCCAUAAAACAAUUAGGAGAAAGAUCCGAUAGUUAAGAUGUUAGAACUAAAACUGAGAAGAUCUAGUUCGUCGGAUGCGAAAAUACCAAAAGAGAUCCGAAAAAGAGCGAAGAAAAAUAAAGCACACAAUAUUACGUGGUUCGGCCAUCGGCCUACGUCCACGGGCGAAGACGGAGCGGAAAUCUUCAUUAUAAUCAAAGUGGUGUACAAAAUAUGCCUCUCUCACAAAACCCUAAUCCCAAAAAUACACCCAUAUUCUCUCUCUCAUCUUCCGUACUAAAUCAAUAGCAGAAAGGGUAUAUUUAUAAUAGUGGCUAAAUCCUAAUACGAUUAGGAAUACAAAUCCACUAAGAUUAGGAAUAUCUCAAUAAAAUUAGGCAUAAUCUAAACUUAACUUAAUGAGAUAAUCAAAAUAGAAUAGGGAUAGAAAACCUUGCGGUACUAGAAUUCGAGACAUAUCUAACAAUCUCCACCUUGGCUUGAAUUCUCUGUCUUCUCCACCAAAAUCCCAAAAGCUCCUGAAGUGCUACUGCACAUGCGACCAAGUUUACGGAAUACUUGACCUUGAUUGCCGGAAAACUUAAUGAGCAAAUCCGCGAGAUUCUCUGAAGUGCCAAUCUUCUCAUUCUCCAACUACGCCGCCUUUUUGCAACCUCUGUUGCAUCAGAACGACAACUUGUCGUAGAGUGAAAUUGUUGGAGCGAUCAAACUUCUCGAUCUCAAAUUCGUUGACGUCUUAAACACUCAAACGAACACUCUGGCUCUGAUACCAGUUUGUUAGAACUAAAACCGAGAAGAUCUAGUUCGUCGGAUGCGAAAAUACCAAAAGAGAUUUGAGAAAGAGAGAAGAAAAAUAAAGCACACAAUAUUUACGUGGUUCGGCCAACGGCCUAUGUCCACGGGCGAAGACGGAGCGAAAAUCUUCAUUAUAAUCAAAGUGGUGUACAAAAUAUGCCUCUCUCAUAAAAUUCUAAUUCCAAAAAUACACCCAUAUUCUCUCUCUCAUCUUCCGCACUAAAUCAAUAGCAGAAAGGGUAUAUUUAUAAUAGUGGUUAAAUCCUAAUACGAUUAGGAAUACAAACCCACUAAGAUUAGGAAUAUCUCAAUAAAAUUAGGCAUAAUCUAAACUUAACUUAAUGAGAUAAUCAAAAUAGAAUAGGGAUAGAAAACCUUGAGGUACUAGAAUUCAAGACAUAUCUAACAUAAGAAUAUUUACUAUUAAAAAUAUUGUAUAUGGUUUAGUUAUUAA